This 697-nucleotide ribosomal RNA is filed under the name uncultured bacterium. RNAcentral describes it as "bacterial SSU rRNA". It matches the Rfam family "Bacterial small subunit ribosomal RNA", at positions 134 to 851 of the family's 1533-position model. The record is from RNAcentral.
UACACACGGAUAACAUACCGAAAGGUAUGCUAAUACGGGAUAAUAUAUUUGAGAGGCAUCUCUUAAAUAUCAAAGGUGAGCCAGUACAGGAUGGACCCGCGUCUGAUUAGCUAGUUGGUAAGGUAACGGCUUACCAAGGCAACGAUCAGUAGCCGACCUGAGAGGGUGAUCGGCCACAUUAGAACUGAGACACGGUCCAAACUCCUACGGGAGGCAGCAGUGGGGAAUAUUGCACAAUGGGCGGAAGCCUGAUGCAGCAACGCCGCGUGAGUGAUGAAGGCCUUCGGGUCGUAAAACUCUGUCCUCAAGGAAGAUAAUGACGGUACUUGAGGAGGAAGCCCCGGCUAACUACGUGCCAGCAGCCGCGGUAAUACGUAGGGGGCUAGCGUUAUCCGGAUUUACUGGGCGUAAAGGGUGCGUAGGCGGUCUUUCAAGUCAGGAGUGAAAGGCUACGGCUCAACCGUAGUAAGCUCUUGAAACUGGGAGACUUGAGUGCAGGAGAGGAGAGUGGAAUUCCUAGUGUAGCGGUGAAACGCGUAGAUAUUAGGAGGAACACCAGUUGCGAAGGCGGCUCUCUGGACUGUAACUGACGCUGAGGCACGAAAGCGUGGGGAGCAAACAGGAUUAGAUACCCUGGUAGUCCACGCUGUAAACGAUGAGUACUAGGUGUCGGGGGUUACCCCCUUCGGUGCCGCAG